CCAGGCUAGAGUACGGAGAAGGGAUC
RNAcentral lists this non-coding RNA (26 nucleotides) under Homo sapiens (human). The record is from RNAcentral. Lineage: Eukaryota; Metazoa; Chordata; Mammalia; Primates; Hominidae.